Molecule: long non-coding RNA, 400 nt
Filed under: Phoenix dactylifera (date palm)
Lineage: Eukaryota; Viridiplantae; Streptophyta; Magnoliopsida; Arecales; Arecaceae
Description: long non-coding RNA (PDAC_LNC012753)
Source: RNAcentral
AGCCGCACACGCGUCCGGCCUCUACGGGUAUCCACACGAGGCAGAGAACCAAUCCAAACUCUCUAAUCUCCCCGGGGUGCUAGCUCCCUUGCAGAGAUAUAUUUUGAUGGCUGAAAUCCUCUCUUGAUUUAUCAACUCUUUGAUAGAUCUCAAGAGGAAGAAGAAGGACUUGAAAGGGAGGAAGAAGAUCCCAUCUUGCUGCCUCCUUUUCUUUUAUUCUUGUGGAUGGAAGAAGGGUGAAGAGAGAAAGCCAUACACCACCCUAUUUUUCUUUGAUGCUCAUGGCUGAAACCCCAAUAGGAAGGAGGCUUGCCCAUGGCACAAAAACCAAGAGGGGAGGAGGCACUCUCACGGCACAAAAGAAAAGGAGAGAGGGGAGGAGCUCUCAUGGCACAAAAAA